UAGAGUUUGAUCAUGGCUCAGAUUGAACGCUGGCGGCAGGCCUAACACAUGCAAGUCGAGCGGCAGCGGGAAGUAGCUUGCUACUUUGCCGGCGAGCGGCGGACGGGUGAGUAAUGUCUGGGAAACUGCCUGAUGGAGGGGGAUAACUACUGGAAACGGUAGCUAAUACCGCAUGAUGUCGCAAGACCAAAGUGGGGGACCUUCGGGCCUCACGCCAUCGGAUGUGCCCAGAUGGGAUUAGCUAGUAGGUGAGGUAAUGGCUCACCUAGGCGACGAUCCCUAGCUGGUCUGAGAGGAUGACCAGCCACACUGGGACUGAGACACGGUCCAGACUCCUACGGGAGGCAGCAGUGGGGAAUAUUGCACAAUGGGCGCAAGCCUGAUGCAGCCAUGCCGCGUGUGUGAAGAAGGCCUUAGGGUUGUAAAGCACUUUCAGCGAGGAGGAAGGGUUCAGUGUUAAUAGCACUGUGCAUUGACGUUACUCGCAGAAGAAGCACCGGCUAACUCCGUGCCAGCAGCCGCGGUAAUACGGAGGGUGCAAGCGUUAAUCGGAAUUACUGGGCGUAAAGCGCACGCAGGCGGUUUGUUAAGUCAGAUGUGAAAUCCCCGCGCUUAACUUGGGAACUGCAUUUGAAACUGGCAAGCUAGAGUCUUGUAGAGGGGGGUAGAAUUCCAGGUGUAGCGGUGAAAUGCGUAGAGAUCUGGAGGAAUACCGGUGGCGAAGGCGGCCCCCUGGACAAA
RNAcentral lists this ribosomal RNA (741 nucleotides) under uncultured bacterium. Its description in RNAcentral is "bacterial SSU rRNA". It matches the Rfam family "Bacterial small subunit ribosomal RNA", at positions 1 to 737 of the family's 1533-position model. The record is from RNAcentral.